ACCUAAAUAGUUUAAAAUAAAACGUUAGCUUGUGGCGCUUAAAAUGUAAAGUAUUACUUUAGGUA
Molecule: transfer RNA, 65 nt
Filed under: Pachygrapsus fakaravensis
Lineage: Eukaryota; Metazoa; Arthropoda; Malacostraca; Decapoda; Grapsidae
Description: tRNA-His
Rfam family: tRNA
About the family: Transfer RNA (tRNA) molecules are approximately 80 nucleotides in length. Their secondary structure includes four short double-helical elements and three loops (D, anti-codon, and T loops).
Source: RNAcentral